UACGAAGGGGGCUAGCGUUGCUCGGAAUCACUGGGCGUAAAGCGCACGUAGGCGGCUUCUUAAGUCAGGGGUGAAAUCCUGGAGCUCAACUCCAGAACUGCCCUUGAUACUGAGGAGCUCGAGUCCGGAAGAGGUGAGUGGAACUGCGAGUGUAGAGGUGAAAUUCGUAGAUAUUCGCAAGAACACCAGUGGCGAAGGCGACUCACUGGUCCGGUACUGACGCUGAGGUGCGAAAGCGUGGGGAGCAAACAGG
Molecule: ribosomal RNA, 253 nt
Filed under: uncultured bacterium
Lineage: Bacteria
Description: partial 16S ribosomal RNA
Rfam family: Bacterial small subunit ribosomal RNA
Source: RNAcentral